Molecule: ribosomal RNA, 431 nt
Filed under: uncultured bacterium
Lineage: Bacteria
Description: partial 16S ribosomal RNA
Rfam family: Bacterial small subunit ribosomal RNA
Source: RNAcentral
AACGAACGCUGGCGGCAGGCUUAACACAUGCAAGUCGAGCGCCCCGCAAGGGGAGCGGCAGACGGGUGAGUAACGCGUGGGAACGUACCUUUUGGUUCGGAACAACUCCGGGAAACUGGAGCUAAUACCGGAUAAGCCCUAACGGGGAAAGAUUUAUCGCCGAAAGAUCGGCCCGCGUCUGAUUAGCUAGUUGGUGAGGUAACGGCUCACCAUGGCGACGAUCAGUAGCUGGUCUGAGAGGAUGAUCAGCCACACUGGGACUGAGACACGGCCCAGACUCCUACGGGAGGCAGCAGUGGGGAAUAUUGGACAAUGGGCGCAAGCCUGAUCCAGCCAUGCCGCGUGAGUGAUGAAGGCCUUAGGGUUGUAAAGCUCUUUUGUCCGGGAAGAUAAUGACUGUACCGGAAGAAUAAGCCCCGGCUAACUUCGUG